UUAAAUCCGGCACAAUCGACGGACAAAAGACAAUCGGAACGGACCGGACAAUUGAAUCGAGGUAUAAAUUCAAUUGUGCUUUUGCACAUGGAACAGCUCUCGACUCGCGCAAUCUUCCUCUGCUCUCGAGCCUCCACUCUCGAUCUCCCUUUUGCGUUGUCCCCCUCCCUCGCAUUUCUUCUGUCACUUCCCUUUCCGCCGCCGAACAUCGGUGCUUCUUCCACUUUCCGCGCAGUCCGUGGAACCAUGGCUUUCGAACGCCAUUGCCAGUGCCGUGUGGGUGUUCUCCUCCCCUGGACGUCACUACCAGAAACCCUCUCUUGCUGGCCGUGAGGAGCCACCCAUGAGAAGCCUCUAUCGCCGCGUGUGAGGAGCUACCAUCUCCACCCAUUUCUUUCUCGCUGGCCGUUUCUCUCUCUUCCAACGACAGGAGGUAAGCCUCCCUCAUUCCUCUCUCUCUCUCUCUCUCUCUCUCUCUCUCUCUCAGAAAUGGCUUUUUUUCUCUUCCCUCCUCUGUCGUUUUUUCCAAUUCUCGGUGAGCCAAUGAAUCUCUCAGUCUUGUUCGUCUAUUCUCGCGCUUCUUUGGUUCUUCUCCUUCCUCUGCUGCAUCAAUGAAGUCCAGGUCGUGUGGAAUCUUGAGAUAAGUUUGUUUGUUGCUGUAUGUACUUUAAUUUUUUUCUGUUUUAAUAUGUCCUAAUCUAUCGACUGAUAAUUGUUGUUGUUUCAGCUUAUUCCUUUUUUUCAUGUGUACCACAGGUCGCAGGUGCUUCAUCUCAACCGAGGCCUCAAGCUCCUCUUUAAACGUCUUCUUUGUUCCUCUCCCUUAUUGACCCUCGAAUGAUGAGCCGAAAAAACUCAAAUGUAGGAAGGAACUAGUUCUCUGAUAAAACUAGAGCUCCCUUUGAUUAGGCUUGCUUUAGCUGAAGUGCUUGUAGUGUAAUCUGAAAAUUUCAUGUAUGUAAUGUUCAUCACCUAUUCUUAGAAAACCAAUGCACCCUUGAAUCAAACGGUAGCAGAAUGCAGAUGUAUUGUUUUGUUAAUAAAGUUACACCAUUGCUUUUA
Molecule: long non-coding RNA, 1062 nt
Organism: Nymphaea colorata (pocket water lily)
Lineage: Eukaryota; Viridiplantae; Streptophyta; Magnoliopsida; Nymphaeales; Nymphaeaceae
Exons: 2
Source: RefSeq, a predicted model, not a curated record